AGAGUUUGAUCCUGGCUCAGAGUGAACGCUGGCGGCGUGCCUAACACAUGCAAGUCGAACGAGAACGGAUAUAAGUUUACUUAUAUUGUCAGCUAAGUGGCGCACGGGUGAGUAAUAUAUAGUUAACUUGCCUUCUAGAAGGGGAUAAUUGUUGGAAACGACUUGUAAAACCCUAUAUGCCUUUAUUACAUAAGUAAGCAAGGGAAAUAUUUAUAGCUAGAAGAUAGGACUGUACGGUAUCAGUUAGUUGGUGAGGUAAUGGCUCACCAAGACAAUGACACCUAUCUGGUUUGAGAGGAUGAUCAGUCACACUGGAACUGAGACACGGUCCAGACUCCUACGGGAGGCAGCAGUGGGGAAUAUUGCACAAUGGAGGGAACUCUGAUGCAGCAACGCCGCGUGGAGGAUGACACAUUUCGGUGCGUAAACUCCUUUUAUAUAAGAAGAUAAUGACGGUAUUAUAUGAAUAAGCACCGGCUAACUCCGUGCCAGCAGCCGCGGUAAUACGGGGGGUGCAAGCGUUACUCGGAAUCACUGGGCGUAAAGAGCAU
This 551-nucleotide ribosomal RNA is filed under the name uncultured bacterium. RNAcentral's name for it is "bacterial SSU rRNA". It matches the Rfam family "Bacterial small subunit ribosomal RNA", at positions 8 to 570 of the family's 1533-position model. The record is from RNAcentral.